RNAcentral lists this ribosomal RNA (468 nucleotides) under uncultured bacterium. Its description in RNAcentral is "partial 16S ribosomal RNA". It matches the Rfam family "Bacterial small subunit ribosomal RNA", at positions 28 to 507 of the family's 1533-position model. The record is from RNAcentral.
GACGAACGCUGGCGGCGUGCUUAACACAUGCAAGUCGAACGGACAGGCCCUGCUCUUGUGGGGUGCUCGAGUGGCGAACGGGUGAGUAACACGUGAGUAAAAUGUACUUGACUUUGGGAUAAAUUCAGGGAACUGGGGAUCAUACCGGGUAGGAGCUCCUGAUGCAUGUGGGUGGAUGGAAAGAUUCGGCGGUUGGGGCUGGAAUCGCGGCUUAUGAGCUUGUUGGUGAGGUAGUCGCUUACCCAGGCUAUGAAGGGUAGCCCGCCUGAGAGGGUGGCCGGCCACACUGGGACUGAGGGACGGCCCAGUCUCCUACGUUAGGCAGCAGUGGAGAAUAUUGCACAAUGGGCGGAAGCCUGAUGCAGCAACGUCGCGUGCGUGAUGACGUCCUUCGAGUGAUAAACCACUUUCUCCGUUGACGAGGCGUUAUUGACGGUAAUUGGUAAAGAAGCAACGGCUAACUACGUG